Molecule: ribosomal RNA, 503 nt
Filed under: uncultured delta proteobacterium
Lineage: Bacteria; Deltaproteobacteria
Description: bacterial SSU rRNA
Rfam family: Bacterial small subunit ribosomal RNA
Source: RNAcentral
AGAGUUUGAUCAUGGCUCAGAAUGAACGCUGGCGGCGUGCCUAACACAUGCAAGUCGCACGAGAAAUCUGGUACCUAGUUCUGCUAGGUACUGGAGAGUAAAGUGGCGGACGGGUGAGUAACGCGUAGGUAACCUACCCCUGUAUCUGGGAUAACACCUCGAAAGGGGUGCUAAUACCGGAUACCAUCCUAGCAGGGAACUGCUAGGAUGAAAGCUAGCCUCUGUUAUACAAGCUAGCGUAUAGGGAUGGGCCUGCGUCCUAUCAGCUAGUUGGUGAGGUAAUGGCUCACCAAGGCUAAGACGGGUAGCUGGUCUGAGAGGAUGAUCAGCCACACUGGCACUGGGACACGGGCCAGACUCCUACGGGAGGCAGCAGUGAGGAAUAUUGCGCAAUGGCCGAAAGGCUGACGCAGCGACGCCGCGUGGGUGAAGAAGGCCUUCGGGUCGUAAAGCCCUGUCAGUGGGGAAGAAAUCCCUAUAGGUGAAUAGCCUAUAGGGUGANG